Molecule: transfer RNA, 74 nt
Filed under: Mammaliicoccus sciuri
Lineage: Bacteria; Bacillati; Bacillota; Bacilli; Caryophanales; Staphylococcaceae
Description: Staphylococcus sciuri tRNA-Cys
Rfam family: tRNA
About the family: Transfer RNA (tRNA) molecules are approximately 80 nucleotides in length. Their secondary structure includes four short double-helical elements and three loops (D, anti-codon, and T loops).
Source: RNAcentral
GGCGGCAUAGCCAAGUGGUAAGGCAGAGGUCUGCACACCCUUUAUCACCGGUUCAAAUCCGGUUGCCGCCUUCA